ACAGUUUGCCUCAGAGUUUCAGUUUGUUAAUAAAGUUUUUUUAACUGGAUCCACCACUCACAGUAUCUCAUACAUCUAAUUAUUGGAUUGUGACAAAACUGCUGUUCCAUUAAAAGAAUUACAGGAUUGAACCAAAUGUGGUGUACAACUAGAGAU
This is a long non-coding RNA of Etheostoma cragini (Arkansas darter), 156 nucleotides long. RefSeq lists it as uncharacterized. NCBI's taxonomy places the organism in Eukaryota, Metazoa, Chordata, Actinopteri, Perciformes, Percidae. The record is from RefSeq and is a predicted model, not a curated record. The transcript is spliced from 2 exons.